GAUGAACGCUGGCGGCGUGCCUAAUACAUGCAAGUCGAGCGAACGGACGAGAAGCUUGCUUCUCUGAUGUUAGCGGCGGACGGGUGAGUAACACGUGGAUAACCUACCUAUAAGACUGGGAUAACUUCGGGAAACCGGAGCUAAUACCGGAUAAUAUUUUGAACCGCAUGGUUCAAAAGUGAAAGACGGUCUUGCUGUCACCUAUAGAUGGAUCCGCGCUGCAUUAGCUAGUUGGUAAGGUAACGGCUUACCAAGGCAACGAUGCAUAGCCGACCUGAGAGGGUGAUCGGCCACACUGGAACUGAGACACGGUCCAGACUCCUACGGGAGGCAGCAGUAGGGAAUCUUCUGCAAUGGGCGAAAGCCUGACGGAGCAACGCCGCGUGAGUGAUGAAGGUCUUCGGAUCGUAAAACUCUGUUAUUAGGGAAGAACAUAUGUGUAAGUAACUGUGCACAUCUUGACGGUACCUAAUCAGAAAGCCACGGCUAACUACGUG
RNAcentral lists this ribosomal RNA (497 nucleotides) under uncultured bacterium. RNAcentral describes it as "partial 16S ribosomal RNA". It matches the Rfam family "Bacterial small subunit ribosomal RNA", at positions 28 to 507 of the family's 1533-position model. The record is from RNAcentral.